RNAcentral lists this ribosomal RNA (468 nucleotides) under uncultured bacterium. RNAcentral describes it as "partial 16S ribosomal RNA". It matches the Rfam family "Bacterial small subunit ribosomal RNA", at positions 28 to 507 of the family's 1533-position model. The record is from RNAcentral.
GACGAACGCUGGCGGCGUGCUUAACACAUGCAAGUCGAACGGAAAGGCCCUGCUUUUGUGGGGUGCUCGAGUGGCGAACGGGUGAGUAACACGUGAGUAACCUGCCCUUGACUUUGGGAUAACUUCAGGAAGCUGGGGCUAAUACCGGAUAGGAGCUCCUGCUGCAUGGUGGGGGUUGGAAAGUUUCGGCGGUUGGGGAUGGACUCGCGGCUUAUCAGCUUGUUGGUGGGGUAGUGGCUUACCAAGGCUUUGACGGGUAGCCGGCCUGAGAGGGUGACCGGCCACAUUGGGACUGAGAGACGGCCCAGACUCCUACGGGAGGCAGCAGUGGGGAAUAUUGCACAAUGGGCGGAAGCCUGAUGCAGCAACGCCGCGUGCGGGAUGACGGCCUUCGGGUUGUAAACCGCUUUCGCCUGUGACGAAGCGUGAGUGACGGUAAUGGGUAAAGAAGCACCGGCUAACUACGUG